GUGCUCACUUCAGCAACACACAUACUGCAACUGAAAUGAUUCAGAGAUUAGUAUGCCCUUGUGCAAGGAUGACAUGCAAAUUUGUUAAGCAUUCCAUGUUUUU
Small nuclear RNA from Jaculus jaculus (lesser Egyptian jerboa), 103 nucleotides. Lineage: Eukaryota; Metazoa; Chordata; Mammalia; Rodentia; Dipodidae. The record is from Ensembl.